Molecule: long non-coding RNA, 614 nt
Organism: Homo sapiens (human)
Lineage: Eukaryota; Metazoa; Chordata; Mammalia; Primates; Hominidae
Exons: 2
Source: RefSeq, a predicted model, not a curated record
CAGCAGCAAGGCAGGAGCUGUUCAAAUGGAGAAUAAUUGGCAGAAGACCAAACAGAAACAGUCUUACUCUAAAACCCUAGAGGACUUGUGCCUUCGGAUCCUGAUUUAUUAAGUGAGAAGUCCACUAUCCUGAAGCUGCUAUGCUGGAGAGACCAUGUGAAAAGAUCAUAUAGAAGUAGAAAGAUGCCCAAGAAGCCAUAUAUGCUUCUUUCUGUAGCUGUUUCAGUCUGCCCACCCAGGGAUCGGACAUGUUAGAGAAAGAGUCUUAAAGAUUAUCCCAACCCCAGCCACCAUGUGACUGCAACCUCAUGAAAACCCCACACCAGAACAGUGGUAUCAGCUCAAACUUUGCAAGGGCUAGGAGACUGAGGGCAGCUGACCAGAUUUAUGUGAUUGAGCCUAAUAAACUGGCCUGAGUAAGCUUCCCUGGUUGACAAUAUUCUGCGAGUAUUAUCACACACUGGAUGUCAGGAAAUUAACACUGUCCACAACUCAUGGAAAGGACAACUGGGAGUUCUGUGUUUAGAGCUUUCCUGAACUCUGCCCUAUGUACCCCUUCCCUUGGCUGAUUUUAACCUGUAUUCUUAGCUGCAAUAAACCGUAACUUUCCAUGA